This 459-nucleotide ribosomal RNA is filed under the name uncultured bacterium. Its description in RNAcentral is "bacterial SSU rRNA". It matches the Rfam family "Bacterial small subunit ribosomal RNA", at positions 923 to 1379 of the family's 1533-position model. The record is from RNAcentral.
GCACAAGCGGUGGAGCAUGUGGUUUAAUUCGACGCAACGCGCAGAACCUUACCAGCCCUUGACAUCCCGGUCGCGGACUCCAGAGACGGAGUUCUUCAGUUCGGCUGGCGGGAACACAGGUGCUGCAUGGCUGUCGUCAGCUCGUGUCGUGAGAUGUUGGGUUAAGUCCCGCAACGAGCGCAACCCUCGCCCUUAGUUGCCAUCAUUUAGUUGGGCACUCUAAGGGGACUGCCGGUGAUAAGCCGCGAGGAAGGUGGGGAUGACGUCAAGUCCUCAUGGCCCUUACGGGCUGGGCUACACACGUGCUACAAUGGCGGUGACAGAGGGACGCAAUGGAGCAAUCCUGCGCAAAUCUCAAAAAGCCGUCUCAGUUCGGAUUGCACUCUGCAACUCGGGUGCAUGAAGUUGGAAUCGCUAGUAAUCGCAGAUCAGCACGCUGCGGUGAAUACGUUCCCGGGC